CUACGGGCGGCACCAGUGAGGAAUAUUGCACAAUGGGGGGAACCCUGAUGCAGCAACGCCGCGUGGAGGAUGACGCAUUUCGGUGUGUAAACUCCUUUUAUAUGUCAAGAAAAUGACGGUAGCAUAUGAAUAAGCACCGGCUAACUCCGUGCCAGCAGCCGCGGUAAUACGGAGGGUGCAAGCGUUACUCGGAAUCAUUGGGCGUAAAGGACGCGUAGGCGGGUUGGAAAGUCAGGUGUGAAAUCCUACAGCUUAACUGUAGAACUGCACUUGAAACUUCUAAUCUAGAGUAUGGGAGGGGGAGACGGAAUUAGUGGUGUAGGGGUAAAAUCCGUAGAUAUCACUAGGAAUACCUAAAGCGAAGGCGAUCUCCUGGAACAUUACUGACGCUAAGGCGUGAAAGCGUGGGGAGCAAACAGGAUUAGAUACCCGAGUAGUC
Molecule: ribosomal RNA, 439 nt
Filed under: uncultured bacterium
Lineage: Bacteria
Description: partial 16S ribosomal RNA
Rfam family: Bacterial small subunit ribosomal RNA
Source: RNAcentral